This is a long non-coding RNA of Sorex araneus (European shrew), 680 nucleotides long. RefSeq lists it as uncharacterized. The transcript has 5 exons. NCBI's taxonomy places the organism in Eukaryota, Metazoa, Chordata, Mammalia, Eulipotyphla, Soricidae. The record is from RefSeq and is a predicted model, not a curated record.
GCCUCUGGUUGGACGAGACGCGCUGCAGGGGCGGGGCGUGUCCGCGGUGGGCGUGUGCUGCGGAGCCGCGGGGGCGAAGCGCCUGGAGUAUGAGCCGGUCGCCGCUGUGAGAUGCUCUGGUGAGAGGGAAAUAGUGCCCCCGGAGCUGUGAAGCCUUAUCUGCUUCUGAAGAUCCUGUAGAUGCACCCUUGAAUCUGGAGAUUGAUUGCUUCAUAAAUCCCAAGAAUGAAGACCUGUUGGACAGUCCAGAGCUUCCAGGAUGGCAUGUUAGUGCCCCAGGAUAUGGUCAUGAUGAUGCUGAAGAGUUACCUCUUCCUGAAAUUCCUUCUCAUCCUCGGAUGCCUGAAGUUUAUUUUUUUCCCAGAGGAGAGCGAGGACAGUUACUCCCAGAAUGGCCUCUCUCAGCCGCCUUCUGGAGAAGCUGCCAACUCUGGCUUGGAAGAGAAGAGACGCUCGUUGGGGCUGAAACAGGAAAACCCUGGGAACGAGGAUGUGGAGCUCAGCAACAUGUAGUGUCAUGACGAGAGCAAGCACAGGAUUCGCCUGUGCUGAAAUGUUGUUUUGCAAAUCAAUUAGAAUCCUGUCUUCUUCGUGACUGCAAAUAAUAAUAAUAAUAAUAAUAAUGUAUGUACCUAUGAUGAAAAGAAAUCAUUCACAAUAAAUAUCCUGAGCUUCACAAA